Molecule: long non-coding RNA, 392 nt
Filed under: Bos grunniens (domestic yak)
Lineage: Eukaryota; Metazoa; Chordata; Mammalia; Artiodactyla; Bovidae
Description: lncRNA (ENSBGRG00000022801.1)
Source: RNAcentral
AGUCUCAAGUUGUUCUUUAGGGAGAAUCUGAACUAAGAUAUUUGUACCAGAAAUAGCCCUAGAAAACAGACCCUGGAAAUGUCUUCCUGGUGGUUGGCUAGUGGAUACUGGGACCCAAAAAGAUAAUAAAUAGAGCAACCUGGCUUAAUGGAUACAGGCAAGACACUUCAGGUAGUCCACAAGGAGUGACUUCAGAGUGCAGUUACCACUAUUAGCCACCAGAUGGCAGAGAUACUCAGGGAAGCGCGGCAUGGAGGCUACAGGCUGCUGUAUGGUUUAACGGCACUGGUGACCCAGAGCACCCUGGCCAUGGAAAGAGCAAGGAGGUAGGUCAUCAACUAAAAGUUUGUAGCUUUUUGCCAGAUCGAAACUCUAGGAUAUUCCUCACAAAC